This 858-nucleotide ribosomal RNA is filed under the name uncultured bacterium. RNAcentral describes it as "SSU rRNA". It matches the Rfam family "Bacterial small subunit ribosomal RNA", at positions 524 to 1381 of the family's 1533-position model. The record is from RNAcentral.
UACGGAGGAUCCAAGCGUUAUCCGGAAUCAUUGGGUUUAAAGGGUCCGUAGGCUGUUUUUUUAAGUCAGAGGUGAAAUCCUGCAGCUCAACUGUAGAAUUGCCUUUGAUACUGAAAGACUUGAGUUAUUGUGAAGUGGUUAGAAUGUGUGGUGUAGCGGUGAAAUGCAUAGAUAUCACACAGAAUACCAAUUGCGAAGGCAGAUCACUAACAAUAUACUGACGCUCAGGGACGAAAGCGUGGGUAGCGAACAGGAUUAGAUAUCCUGGUAGUCCACGCCGUAAACGAUGGAUACUAGCUGUAUGUCUACCUCAGGUAGAUGUGUGGCUAAGCGAAAGUGAUAAGUAUCCCACCUGGGGAGUACGAUCGCAAGAUUGAAACUCAAAGGAAUUGACGGGGGCCCGCACAAGCGGUGGAGCAUGUGGUUUAAUUCGAUGAUACGCGAGGAACCUUACCAGGGCUUAAAUGUAACGGGACAGAUCUAGAGAUAGAUCCUUCUUCGGACUCAUUACAAGGUGCUGCAUGGUUGUCGUCAGCUCGUGCCGUGAGGUGUCAGGUUAAGUCCUAUAACGAGCGCAACCCCCAUCGUUAGUUGCCAACGAGUAAUGUCGGGAACUCUAACGAAACUGCCGGUGCAAACCGUGAGGAAGGUGGGGAUGACGUCAAAUCAUCACGGCCCUUACGUCCUGGGCUACACACGUGCUACAAUGGUCGGUACAGAGAGCAGCCACUACGCGAGUAGGAGCAAAUCUUUAAAACCGAUCUCAGUUCGGAUCGGAGUCUGCAACUCGACUCCGUGAAGCAGGAAUCGCUAGUAAUCGGAUAUCAGCCAUGAUCCGGUGAAUACGUUCCCGGGCCU